Molecule: ribosomal RNA, 368 nt
Filed under: uncultured organism
Description: bacterial SSU rRNA
Rfam family: Bacterial small subunit ribosomal RNA
Source: RNAcentral
CGGAGGGUGCAAGCGUUAUCCGGAUUUAUUGGGUUUAAAGGGUGCGUAGGCGGUAUUUUAAGUCAGUGGUGAAAUGUUGCAGCUUAACUGUAGAACUGCCAUUGAAACUGAAGUACUUGAGUUAUCUUGAAGUAGGCGGAAUGUGUAGUGUAGCGGUGAAAUGCUUAGAUAUUACACAGAACACCCAUUGCGAAGGCAGCUUACUAAGGGUAAACUGACGCUGAGGCACGAAAGCGUGGGGAUCGAACAGGAUUAGAUACCCUGGUAGUCCACGCCGUAAACGAUGAUGACUCGCUGUUGGCGAUACACAGUCAGCGGCUUAGCGAAAGCGUUAAGUCAUCCACCUGGGGAGUACGCUCGCAAGAGUG